GGGCGGGAUGGGAGUGUCUUCUUGGCCGUGGAAAUCGAUCCUCCUACCUUGUCCUGAAGCCGCCCGCCGCCUUUCCUCGUCCCUCCCUUCGCGGUGAUUUUCCGGUCCCGGCGCCCGGCGAGGGCGCGCGGCUGGUGUCCGCCCCGCCCGAAAGGUUUCAUCAGUUUCACCCUUUUCUGUGUGCAGCUGAUUUUAGAAAGAUUGCUUCCUUGUAUGGUAGCGAUAAGUUUGAUUUGCCCUAUGGGAUGAGAACAUCAGCAUACCCUGUAAAAAGUGUGUGGUGGUUGGUAAUGGAGGAGUUUUGAAGAAUAAGACAUUAGGAGAAAAAAUCGACUCCUAUGAUGUAAUAAUAAGAAUGAAUAAUGGUCCUGUUUUAGGACAUGAAGAAGAAGUUGGGAGAAGGACAACCUUCCGACUUUUUUAUCCAGAAUCUGUUUUUUCAGAUCCUAUUCACAAUGACCCUAAUACGACAGUGAUUCUCACUGCUUUUAAGCCACAUGAUUUAAGGUGGCUGUUGGAAUUGUUGAUGGGUGACAAAAUAAACACUAAUGGUUUUUGGAAGAAACCAGCCUUAAAUCUGAUUUAUAAACCUUAUCAAAUCCGAAUAUUAGAUCCUUUCAUUAUCAGAACAGCAGCUUAUGAACUGCUUCAUUUUCCAAAAGUGUUUCCCAAAAAUCAGAAACCUAAACACCCAACAACAGGAAUUAUUGCCAUCACACUGGCGUUUUACAUAUGUCACGAAGUUCACCUAGCUGGUUUUAAAUACAACUUUUCUGACCUCAAGAGUCCUUUGCACUACUAUGGGAAUGCCACCAUGUCUUUGAUGAAUAAGAACGCGUAUCACAAUGUGACUGCAGAGCAGCUCUUUUUGAAGGACAUUAUAGAAAAAAACCUUGUAAUCAACUUGACUCAAGAUUGACUCUACAGACUCAGAAGAUGAUGCUAACAGUGUUAGUUUUAUUUUUGUACUGCAAUUUUUAGUUUAAAAUAUGUUGGAUGCACUCAUCAAAUAAUUAUGUAUAUUGUCUGUUGCUGCCUGGUGAUUCAUAACCACCAGCUUAAUUUCUGUGAAUACUGUAUAUUUAACUUAUGAAAACCAAGA
RNAcentral lists this small RNA (1102 nucleotides) under Pongo abelii (Sumatran orangutan). Its description in RNAcentral is "processed transcript". The record is from RNAcentral. Lineage: Eukaryota; Metazoa; Chordata; Mammalia; Primates; Hominidae.